AUAGGAGGUCCAGCCUGCCCAGUGACUACGGGUUCAACGGCCGCGGUAUUUUGACCGUGCAAAGGUAGCGCAAUCACUUGUCUCUUAAAUAGAGACCUGUAUGAAUGGCUAGACGAGGGCUUAACUGUCUCCCCCUUCCAGUCAGUGAAAUUGAUCUAUCCGUGCAGAAGCGGGUAUAAUUAUACAAGACGAGAAGACCCUUUGGAGCUUAAGGUACAAAAUUCAACCACGUUAAACAACUCCAUAAAAAGUACGAACUUAGUGGCAUAUGAAAUUUUACCUUCGGUUGGGGCGACCACGGAGGAAAAAUAAGCCUCCGAGUGGACUGGGCCAAAUACCCAAAGCCAAAAGAUACAUCUUUAAGCCGCAGAAUAUCUGACCAAAAAUGAUCCGACUAAUAAAGCCGAUCAACGAACCAAGUUACCCUAGGGAUAACAGCGCAAUCCUCUCCCAGAGUCCAUAUCGACGAGGGGGUUUACGACCUCGAUGUUGGAUCAGGACAUCCUAAUGGUGCAGCCGCUAUUAAGGGUUCGUUUGUUCAACGAUUAAAGUCC
This 554-nucleotide ribosomal RNA is filed under the name Pelecus cultratus. RNAcentral describes it as "partial 16S ribosomal RNA". It matches the Rfam family "Bacterial large subunit ribosomal RNA", at positions 1845 to 2596 of the family's 2925-position model. The record is from RNAcentral. Lineage: Eukaryota; Metazoa; Chordata; Actinopteri; Cypriniformes; Leuciscidae.